CUGACCGCGCAUACUACGUGAAGGAUGAAGGUCUACGGAUUGUAAACUUCUUUACCAGGGGUUACACUUUGGCAAAAAGUCACGACUAACUAUGUGCCAGCAGUCGCGGUAAGACAUAGGUGGCAAACGUUAUCCGGAUUUAUUGGGCGUAAAGGAUGCGUAGAUGGCGGAAUAAGUUAUCAGUAGAAGCUAGGCUCAACUUAACGGAAGCUGAUAAUACUAUUCUGCUAGAGGACAGGAGAGGUUGGCGGAACUCUAUGCGUAGGGGUGAAAUCCAUUGAUCUAUAGAGGACCACCAAAAAAGGCGAAGGCAGCCAACUAUUCUGCUCCUGACAUUGAGGCAUGAAAGCGUGGGGAGCAAAACGGAUUAGAUACCCGUGUAGUCCACGCCCUAAACGAUGAGCAUUAGACAUUAAGAAGUGAAUUAGUGUCGCAGCUAACGCUUUAAAUGCUCCGCCUGGGUAGUACGAUCGCAAGGUUGAAACUC
RNAcentral lists this ribosomal RNA (487 nucleotides) under uncultured bacterium. RNAcentral's name for it is "bacterial SSU rRNA". It matches the Rfam family "Bacterial small subunit ribosomal RNA", at positions 383 to 902 of the family's 1533-position model. The record is from RNAcentral.